This 551-nucleotide ribosomal RNA is filed under the name uncultured Phialocephala. Its description in RNAcentral is "eukaryotic LSU rRNA". The stretch from base 205 to 358 matches the Rfam family "5.8S ribosomal RNA". Lineage: Eukaryota; Fungi; Ascomycota; Leotiomycetes; Helotiales. The record is from RNAcentral.
UCCGUAGGUGAACCUGCGGAAGGAUCAUUACAAGUGAGGCUACCGAACGUUGGAGACAGCGGUUAGGAGCUUACACCCACCCGUGUUUACAUACUAUUGUUGCUUUGGCGGGCCGUGGCCUCCACUGCGGGCUCUGCUCGUGUGUGCCCGCCAGAGGACCAAACUCUGAAUGUUAGUGAUGUCUGAGUACUAUCUAAUAGUUAAAACUUUCAACAACGGAUCUCUUGGUUCUGGCAUCGAUGAAGAACGCAGCGAAAUGCGAUAAGUAACGUGAAUUGCAGAAUUCAGUAAAUCAUCGAAUCUUUGAACGCACAUUGCGCCCUGUGGUAUUCCGCAGGGCAUGCCUGUUCGAGCGUCAUUUAACCACUCACGCCUAGCGUGGUAUUGGGGCACGCGGUCUCGCGGCCCUCAAAAUUAGUGGCGGCGCCGGUGGGCUCUAAGCGUAGUACAUACUCCCGCUAUAGAGUUCCCCCGGUGGCUCGCCAGAACCCCCAAUUUUUUACAGGUUGACCUCGGAUCAGGUAGGGAUACCCGCUGAACUUAAGCAUAUC